Molecule: ribosomal RNA, 848 nt
Filed under: Ophiocordyceps rhizoidea
Lineage: Eukaryota; Fungi; Ascomycota; Sordariomycetes; Hypocreales; Ophiocordycipitaceae
Description: LSU rRNA
Rfam family: Eukaryotic large subunit ribosomal RNA
Source: RNAcentral
CCAACAGGGAUUGCCCCAGUAACGGCGAGUGAAGCGGCAACAGCUCAAAUUUGAAAUCCGGCCCCCCGGGCCCGAGUUGUAAUUUGCAGAGGACGCUCCCGGCGCGGCGCCUUCCGAGUUCCCUGGAACGGGACGCCACAGAGGGUGAGAGCCCCGUCCGGUCGGACGCCAAGCCUCCGUGGAGCUCCUUCGACGAGUCGAGUAGUUUGGGAAUGCUGCUCAAAAUGGGAGGUAUAUGUCUUCUAAAGCUAAAUACCGGCCAGAGACCGAUAGCGCACAAGUAGAGUGAUCGAAAGAUGAAAAGCACUUUGAAAAGAGGGUUAAACAGUACGUGAAAUUGUUGAAAGGGAAGCGCUCGCGGCCAGACUCGGGCCCGGCGGAUCAUCCGGCGUUCUCGCCGGUGCGCUCCGCCGGGCCCGGGCCAGCAUCGGUCCGCGGCGGGGGACAAAGGCUCCGGGAACGUGGCCCCCACGGGGGUGUUAUAGCCCGCUGCGCAAUGCCCCGCGGCGGACCGAGGUACGCGCCCCGCAAGGAUGCUGGCGUAAUGGCCUCCAGCGACCCGUCUUGAAACACGGACCAAGGAGUCGUCUUCGUAUGCGAGUGUUCGGGUGUCAAACCCCUACGCGCAAUGAAAGUGAACGCUGGUGAGAGCCUCGGCGCAUCACCGACCGAUCCUGAUGUUCUCGGAUGGAUUUGAGUAAGAGCAUACGGGGCCGGACCCGAAAGAAGGUGAACUAUGCCUGUGUAGGGUGAAGCCAGAGGAAACUCUGGUGGAGGCUCGCAGCGGUUCUGACGUGCAAAUCGAUCGUCAAACAUGGGCAUGGGGGCGAAAGACUAAUCGAACCUUC